GAAAUGCGAUAAGUAAUGUGAAUUGCAGAAUUCCGUGAAUCAUUAAAUCUUUGAACGCACAUUGCGCCUUUUGGUAUUCCUCAAGGCAUGCCUGUUCGAGAAUCAGUUUAAUCAUCAAACCUUUUUUGGAAACAAAAUAUGUUUGGACUUGGGACUACUCGAAAGAGAGACCUUAAUUACAUUUGUUGCUAAUCUCUGGCGAGAUUAUAUGAACGGCAUGACCAUUGAACGCAAGUUCUUAUGAUUGCAACUAGUAUCUUUUCGCUUUUGAGGACGUACAGAAUCUUACACGAAGGAUUAACAUCCUUUAAGACUUGAUCUCGAAUCAGACAAGACUACCCGCUGAACUUAA
RNAcentral lists this unclassified non-coding RNA (352 nucleotides) under uncultured fungus. RNAcentral's name for it is "sequence contains ITS1". The stretch from base 1 to 105 matches the Rfam family "5.8S ribosomal RNA", at positions 50 to 154 of the family's 154-position model. The record is from RNAcentral. Lineage: Eukaryota; Fungi.